UUAAUUUUAGAAUUGGUUGUUAUUUUAGGCGGGUAACGAACCUAUAAUCAGAAAGAUCCGAAUUUUUGUCUGGAUGGGGUCAAGUGCCUAGCUUUAUUAGCUUUGUAGUCAAUUGGGUAUUUGUAGUCCAAAUAUGAAUUAGGGUUUUGUUUCUUUGGUUCAAAUUAGUGAAGAGAAUAUGCUUCUUUUCGUUAUCAUGGAUACAGUAGCUCUAAACACCUAAAAAGUUGCUUAAUUGAAGUGAAAUUUCCAGUUUUUGGGCUUACUUUCAGGUCCUGAGCUUUGUUUUUGUGUAUAUUUAACUCAGCUAAAGCUAUCCUAGCUGGUAAUUUGUAGUAUUUGUAUUGAUGAUUCUAUUUCUUCAUGACUAUGUAUCUUACCCGUUGCCCAAAUUGCUUGCCCCAAUUUGUUAUACAUUCAAUUUGGUGUAGAAAUGUUUUCCUUUUACUUUUUUGGUAGGCAUUGGAAACAUGCAAUGGGAUUCACCUCCAAUGCACGGUUAAUCUUAAAAGACAUAUUGAAUUGGGUUGAUGUUUAUUGGUUGUUGGUUGCUGUGAUGUGUAGGUGGUAGCAAACUAGCAAUGUCGACUCCUGCGAGGAAGAGGCUGAUGAGAGACUUCAAGAGGCUGCAACAAGACCCACCUGCAGGGAUUAGUGGGGCGCCCCAAGAUAACAAUAUAAUGCUGUGGAAUGCUGUUAUAUUUGGGUAUGUUGGAAAAAUGAAAUGCAUAAAAAGAAAUUACUAUAGUGUUCUCUUUGUUAUGCAACAUUAAUAUUCAUUUUUCGUUUCUUGUCUGGUUUGGAUUGCAGUCCAGAUGAUACCCCUUGGGAUGGAGGUUAGUUAAUCCUUGUACUGAAGCUUUUGAUUAUGUUAAUGUUUUUCAGACGUGGGAUAUUCUAAUGUUUUUCAGACGUGGGAUAUUCUGAUCUAAGUUUUACAUUCUAGGAUGAAGAUGAACCGCAUGUACAGUAGUUAUGUUAUCCCUUUCUUUUGUAAAGGAUUUUAUGUCUUCUUCUUGACGAAAUAAUUAGAUUGCGGUCUGAUGGAUUCCUUAUUUCACUAAGUUCCUAAAAUUUUCGUACUUUCUAAUACUAAAUUCUGAAAACCAGAACCUGAAUAUUGAGUAAAUAACUAAAAGCUUUCCUCCUUUGUUUCUGUCAUGUCUUUUGCCCAUUGAUGUGACCAUGGUAUGCAUGUUUCUGUUAAAUAACCUUAACUUUGUUAGUAUCUACAUUUAAGAACUCUCUGUUGGAGUAAUACAGGCACGUUUAAGUUGACCCUUCAGUUUACAGAGGAUUACCCAAACAAACCACCGACAGUCCGAUUUGUUUCUCGAAUGUUUCAUCCAAAUAGUAAGUUGGAUUAUACAUGUCUUGACAUCACAAUUUUCUGCAUGUUAAGCAUUUCUCCUCUGGUUUCUGAAUUCAAUUUUUCUUUCAAAUUUGGUCAGUUUAUGCAGAUGGAAGUAUUUGUUUGGAUAUUUUACAGAAUCAGUGGAGUCCUAUAUAUGAUGUGGCAGCUAUACUCACAUCUAUUCAGGUAGGAUUGAAUUGUGUGGAUAGGAUUUUUGUUCCUUGCUUAUAUUUAUGAAUUUUCAUAGCAUGUAGCAAAGGUGUGUCGCCUAUAGCAUACAUUUGACUUAGAACUUAAAGAAACAUCGUAUUGGGGAGGUUAAAGUUUUGCUUCUACACCUUAGGGUCUUAAGGAAGGCUAGUACGUUUAUCUUUAUUCCAGUACAGUGUGGAGUUUUAUAUAUCUAUACGACAAAUGUAGCUGCACAUGCCAAUGAAGGCAUGUAGGUAUUUCGAUGUAGACCAACUAUGAAUGGAAAUAGUGAUGUAUGUGUUGAGAAACUUUUAGUGUGCUAAACACCAACAAUCUGAGAAGACCCUAACAUCUACCAUUUUCUUAUUGCAGUCACUACUAUGUGAUCCCAACCCAAACUCUCCUGCUAAUUCAGAAGCUGCUCGCAUGUUUAGCGAGAACAAGCGUGAGUACAACCGAAGAGUGAGAGAAAUCGUGGAACAGAGUUGGACAGCAGACUAACUCCUUCACAUGGGAGCUUGUAGGACAGUCGGAAUUUGUUCAAAGGCAUUUUAUAAGUAGCAUUUCUAGCUACUGCGAGAAUCGUUAUGCCAACUUAUCAACAUUUAUCCUGUAUUUCAAUGUUUUAUUCCCAAAUUAUGACGCUUAGGAUUUGUUCUUCGAAGUAUACAGUUGUGAUGGUAUAUGUUGUAAAUUGUAAUUUCCAUCAAGGACGUUGAUGUAUGUGGAAAGGAUUGACCAUGGAUUAGCUGACAUAAGCUUUGAUGUUUAAGUAUGCUUUAACUCUUAAUCACUUUGUUAACGUCCAUAAUAAAAACACUGCAUUGAUCCUGCAGUGGUCAUUUUCAGUGACACUGAAUUGCCGACCAUUUUAUAUUCUUUAGCUAUAGAGACAAAAUUUAUGGACCCACCCCACUCCAUAUUGUAGUCAAAGUACGUCAAAUACUACUCUCUAAAUUAUUGUUCGUAGGCUCCGUCUAAAAUUUACCAUCCUCAUCCAAUUAUUAGGUCACAAUAUAAUCGAUCAAUAUGCUUUGCGGGCCCCAGGAUCAAUGUAUCCACUUGUAAAAGCCAAACCAAGCCCCCCUUAAGUUCCUUUCCUGAUGCUCUGUAUAGUUUUUUCCAGCUAGCUCAUGAAAUAUAUUCUGUAAAUAAGGAGACAAAAAGGGAGCAUCAUGAAAUGGCAACAAGGGCUAUAUGGUUGGUAUGUCAUGAAUACACUGUGAUUAUAAUUUGUAAAGAGUAAACUAUGAAAACGAGUGAUUAUCAAUUGUUAAUAUGUAGGUGUUUUGUAAAUAAUAAACAAUCGUUCAUGCACGCACGCGUACUGUAAUAUAUGAGAUAUAACUUCAUUUAUAAGCUCUUAUAAUUCUCUUUAUUCUCAAUAUUAUAAAAAAUUUAAGAGUAUUAUUAAAGUCACCCAUUUCAAGGUCUUAUAUUUUGUAAUUUGACAACUCAAAGAUGGACAUGGUAGUUUUGAAUCUCUCAAGAGAAUGAAAAACCAUAAAAAGAAAAAAAGGACAAAGAAAAAAGAAAAAGGUGGAGAGAAAAUUCCCUCCAUUCACUUUUGGGAGAUUUUGGAAAAGACCAAAAGGGAGUGAAAUUUUUUAAAAGAAGCCAAAAUGGACAAAAUUGCCCUUCUUUAUUUUUGGAUUUCAUAAAGAAUCUUUUACAUUUGCAUGUUUUUGUUUUGAAAGUUGAGAGGUUUUUUUGUCUUUUUUGAAAAAAUUUUGGCUUUUUUCAAAAGUAAAAAAAAUUUUGUGGCUAAAUUCUAAAUUUAGGAGAAUAUAUUUCAGAAAGAGAAGGCAAGCAGGCAAGUAGGGAGGGUCAGUGCUGAGUAGACCGACCCCAACCACAUCGCAAAAUUCCUACAUUCACAUUCACUUGAUAAUUCUGAUACAAGCUAAUUUACAAAACAACCUCCGCCCUUCUCUCUCUCUCUCUCUCUCUCUCUCUCUCUCUCAGUAGUUCUGUGUUCCUCUCCUCCCAGACCUAAUGGCUUCGAUCUGAUUAAACCCACCUCCAAAGCCCCUUCCUUCAACAACCCAAUUCUGAACCUGUUCAGAUCGAGACCUCUUGGAGAUUCGGAGCUCCAGGUGAGAAAAUUUUCCCCAAAUUUUCCCAAAUUUUCUUCAAUUUCUUUUGUUCUUAUUCAUUUCCAAGUUUAAUUUUAGAAUUGGUUGUUAUUUUAGGCGGGUAACGAACCUAUAAUCAGAAAGAUCCGAAUUUUAUGUCUCGAUGGGGUCAAGUGCCUAGCUUUAUUAGCUUUGUAGUCAAUUGGGUAUUUGUAGUCCAAAUAUGAAUUAGGGUUUUGUUUCUUAGGGUCAAAUUAGUGAAGAGAAUAUGCUUCUUUUCGUUAUCAUGGAUACCGUAGCUCUAAACACCUAAAAAGUUUUUUAAUUGAAGUGAAAUUUCCAGUUUUUGGGCUUACUUUCAGGUCCUGAGCUUUGUUUUUGUGUAUAUUUAACUCAGCUAAAGCUAUCCUAGCUGGUAAUUUGUAGUAUUUGUAUUGAUGAUUCUAUUUCUUCAUGACUAUGUAUCUUACCCGUUGCCCAAAUUGCUUGCCCCAAUUUUUAUACAUUCAAUUUGGUGUAGAAAUUUUUUUCUUUUACUUUUUUGAUAGGCAUUGGAAACAUGCAAUGGGAUUCACCUCCAAUGCACGGUUAAUCUUAAAAGACAUAUUGAAUUGGGUUGAUGUUUAUUGGUUGUUGGUUGCUGUGAUGUGUAGGUGGUAGCAAACUAGCAAUGUCGACUCCUGCGAGGAAGAGGCUGAUGAGAGAUUUCAAGAGGCUGCAACAAGACCCACCUGCAGGGAUUAGUGGGGCGCCCCAAGAUAACAAUAUAAUGCUGUGGAAUGCUGUUAUAUUUGGGUAUGUUGGAAAAAUGAAAUGCAUAAAAAGAAAUUACUAUAGUGUUCUCUUUGUUAUGCAACAUUAAUAUUCAUUUUUCGUUUCUUGUCUGGUUUGGAUUGCAGUCC
RNAcentral lists this long non-coding RNA (4523 nucleotides) under Prunus persica (peach). RNAcentral describes it as "long non-coding RNA (PPER_LNC005511)". The record is from RNAcentral. Lineage: Eukaryota; Viridiplantae; Streptophyta; Magnoliopsida; Rosales; Rosaceae.